This 475-nucleotide ribosomal RNA is filed under the name uncultured organism. Its description in RNAcentral is "partial 16S ribosomal RNA". It matches the Rfam family "Bacterial small subunit ribosomal RNA", at positions 334 to 800 of the family's 1533-position model. The record is from RNAcentral.
CACUCCUGCGGGAGGCAGCAGUGGGGAAUUUUGGACAAUGGGCGAAAGCCUGAUCCAGCAAUGCCGCGUGAGUGAAGAAGGCCUUCGGGUUGUAAAGCUCUUUUGUCAGGGAAGAAACGGUGAGAGCUAAUAUCUCUUGCUAAUGACGGUACCUGAAGAAUAAGCACCGGCUAACUACGUGCCAGCAGCCGCGGUAAUACGUAGGGUGCAAGCGUUAAUCGGAAUUACUGGGCGUAAAGCGUGCGCAGGCGGUUUUGUAAGUCUGAUGUGAAAUCCCCGGGCUCAACCUGGGAAUUGCAUUGGAGACUGCAAGGCUAGAAUCUGGCAGAGGGGGGUAGAAUUCCACGUGUAGCAGUGAAAUGCGUAGAUAUGUGGAGGAACACCGAUGGCGAAGGCAGCCCCCUGGGUCAAGAUUGACGCUCAUGCACGAAAGCGUGGGGAGCAAACAGGAUUAGAAACCCGUGUAGUCCCAUGA